UACGAAGGGUGCUAGCGUUGUUCGGAAUCACUGGGCGUAAAGCGCGCGUAGGCGGCGACUCAAGUCAGAGGUGAAGGCCCGUGGCUCAACCACGGAAUUGCCUUUGAAACUGUGUUGCUAGAGUGUCGGAGGGGAUAGCGGAAUUGCUAAUGUAGAGGUGAAAUUCGUAGAUAUUAGCAGGAACACCGGUGGCGAAGGCGGCUAUCUGGACGACAACUGACGCUGAGGCGCGAAAGCGUGGGGAUCAAACAGG
Molecule: ribosomal RNA, 253 nt
Filed under: uncultured bacterium
Lineage: Bacteria
Description: partial 16S ribosomal RNA
Rfam family: Bacterial small subunit ribosomal RNA
Source: RNAcentral